ACGGCCCAGACUCCUACGGGAGGCAGCAGUGGGGAAUAUUGCACAAUGGGCGGAAGCCUGAUGCAGCGACGCCGCGUGGGGGAUGAAGGCCUUCGGGUUGUAAACCUCUUUCAGCACCGACGAAGUUGACGGUAGGUGCAGAAGAAGCGCCGGCUAACUACGUGCCAGCAGCCGCGGUAAUACGUAGGGCGCAAGCGUUGUCCGGAAUUAUUGGGCGUAAAGAGCUCGUAGGCGGUUUGUCGCGUCUGCCGUGAAAGCCUGGGGCUUAACCCUGGGUCUGCGGUGGAUACGGGCAGGCUAGAGGCAGGUAGGGGAGAACGGAAUUCCCGGUGUAGCGGUGAAAUGCGCAGAUAUCGGGAGGAACACCGGUGGCGAAGGCGGUUCUCUGGGCCUGUACUGACGCUGAGGAGCGAAAGCGUGGGGAGCGAACAGGAUUAGAUACCCUGGUAGUCCACGCCGUAAACGUUGGGCGCUAGGUGUGGGGUUCUUCCACGGAUUCCGCGCCGUAGCUAACGCAUUAAGCGCCCCGCCUGGGGAGUACGGCCGCAAGGCUAAAACUCAAAGGAAUUGACGGGGGCCCGCACAAGCGGCG
This 592-nucleotide ribosomal RNA is filed under the name Actinomadura sp. 1g12710. RNAcentral's name for it is "bacterial SSU rRNA". It matches the Rfam family "Bacterial small subunit ribosomal RNA", at positions 326 to 934 of the family's 1533-position model. The record is from RNAcentral. Lineage: Bacteria; Bacillati; Actinomycetota; Actinomycetes; Streptosporangiales; Thermomonosporaceae.